RNAcentral lists this ribosomal RNA (253 nucleotides) under uncultured bacterium. RNAcentral's name for it is "partial 16S ribosomal RNA". It matches the Rfam family "Bacterial small subunit ribosomal RNA", at positions 524 to 776 of the family's 1533-position model. The record is from RNAcentral.
UACGUAGGGGGCGAGCGUUAUCCGGAUUCACUGGGUGUAAAGGGAGCGUAGACGGCUGGGCAAGCCUGAUGUGAAAGGCGGGGGCGCAACCCUCGGACUGCAUUGGGAACUGUCCGGCUGGAGCGCCGGAGGGGUAAGCGGAAUUCCUGGUGUAGCGGUGAAAUGCGUAGAUAUCAGGAGGAACACCGGUGGCGAAGGCGGCUUACUGGACGGCGUCUGACGUUGAGGCUCGAAAGCGUGGGGAGCGAACAGG